AUACGUAGGUGGCAAGCGUUGUCCGGAUUUAUUGGGCGUAAAGCGAGCGCAGGCGGUUUCUUAAGUCUGAUGUGAAAGCCCCCGGCUCAACCGGGGAGGGUCAUUGGAAACUGGGAGACUUGAGUGCAGAAGAGGAGAGUGGAAUUCCAUGUGUAGCGGUGAAAUGCGUAGAUAUAUGGAGGAACACCAGUGGCGAAGGCGACUCUCUGUGCUGUAACUGACGCUGAGGCUCGAAAGCGUGGGGAGCAAACAGGAUUAGAUACCCUGGUAGUCCACGCCGUAAACGAGGAGUGCUAAGUGUUGGAGGGUUUCCGCCCUUCAGUGCUUCAGCUAACGCAUUAAGCAAUCCGCCUGGGGAUUACGGCCGCAAGGUUGAAACUCAAAUGAAUUGACGGGG
Molecule: ribosomal RNA, 397 nt
Filed under: uncultured bacterium
Lineage: Bacteria
Description: partial 16S ribosomal RNA
Rfam family: Bacterial small subunit ribosomal RNA
Source: RNAcentral